RNAcentral lists this ribosomal RNA (497 nucleotides) under uncultured bacterium. RNAcentral describes it as "partial 16S ribosomal RNA". It matches the Rfam family "Bacterial small subunit ribosomal RNA", at positions 28 to 507 of the family's 1533-position model. The record is from RNAcentral.
GAUGAACGCUGGCGGCGUGCCUAAUACAUGCAAGUCGAGCGAACAGACGAGGAGCUUGCUCCUCUGACGUUAGCGGCGGACGGGUGAGUAACACGUGGAUAACCUACCUAUAAGACUGGGAUAACUUCGGGAAACCGGAGCUAAUACCGGAUAAUAUAUUGAACCGCAUGGUUCAAUAGUGAAAGACGGUUUUGCUGUCACUUAUAGCUGGAUCCGCGCCGCAUUAGCUAGUUGGUAAGGUAACGGCUUACCAAGGCAACGAUGCGUAGCCGACCUGAGAGGGUGAUCGGCCACACUGGAACUGGGACACGGUCCAGACUCCUACGGGAGGCAGCAGUAGGGAAUCUUCCGCAAUGGGCGAAAGCCUGACGGAGCAACGCCGCGUGAGUGAUGAAGGUCUCCGGAUCGUAAAACUCUGUUAUUAGGGAAGAACAAAUGUGUAAGUAACUAUGCACGUCUUGACGGUACCUAAUCAGAAAGCCACGGCUAACUACGUG